This 438-nucleotide ribosomal RNA is filed under the name Lactiplantibacillus plantarum. RNAcentral describes it as "bacterial SSU rRNA". It matches the Rfam family "Bacterial small subunit ribosomal RNA", at positions 51 to 461 of the family's 1533-position model. The record is from RNAcentral. Lineage: Bacteria; Bacillati; Bacillota; Bacilli; Lactobacillales; Lactobacillaceae.
AUACAUGCAAGUCGAACGAACUCUGGUAUUGAUUGGUGCUUGCAUCAUGAUUUACAUUUGAGUGAGUGGCGAACUGGUGAGUAACACGUGGGAAACCUGCCCAGAAGCGGGGGAUAACACCUGGAAACAGAUGCUAAUACCGCAUAACAACUUGGACCGCAUGGUCCGAGCUUGAAAGAUGGCUUCGGCUAUCACUUUUGGAUGGUCCCGCGGCGUAUUAGCUAGAUGGUGGGGUAACGGCUCACCAUGGCAAUGAUACGUAGCCGACCUGAGAGGGUAAUCGGCCACAUUGGGACUGAGACACGGCCCAAACUCCUACGGGAGGCAGCAGUAGGGAAUCUUCCACAAUGGACGAAAGUCUGAUGGAGCAACGCCGCGUGAGUGAAGAAGGGUUUCGGCUCGUAAAACUCUGUUGUAAAAGAAGAACAUAUCUGAGAG